AUGGCAGACGACUCUUGGGUGCAAGAUAUCAGUCUCCGCCCAAAUGAUGACCUUGUUCACAGCUUCCUGGUCCUAUGGAGGGCGCUGCGAGCUGCAAGCCCGGUGCUGCAACCUCAUGUGGAAGACAAGAUCGCAUGGCGCACUGAGAACACCGGCAGCUACAGCGCCAAGUCAGCGUACAAACUGCAAUUCAGAGAAUGUCCGAAGACAAAUGACGAGCAGCUCAUAUGGAAAACCUGGGCUCCCGGAAACAUCAAAAUUUUCUUCUGGCUGCUCCUCCGCAACCGCUUAUGGUGCAAUGACAGAUUGCAACGCAGGGGAUGGGAAAAUGACUACUUUUGCUCCCUUUGCAGAAGAAACUUGGAAACCUCAACUCACCUGUUCUGGGACUGCCCAGUCUCCAGAGCAAUUUGGAGGCAGAUUGCAACCUGGGCUGACUGCGACAAGCUCACGCUCAUUUCAGAGAACAUCCAAGACACAACCACCUCUGUCACACGGCUGCGAAACAUUCUCCAACAGGAACGACUGAGGCUCAGAGAGAAGCUCAAGACAAUGAUUUUCCUAACUGCAUGGCACAUCUGGCAGGAGAGGAACAAUCGCACCUUCAGGCAUGAGACGAGCCCAGUAUGCAAUGUUGUCGCUGCAAUCAGGAGAGAUGCAGAAGAUUGGAAGCUGGCAGGAACCAAAUGCCUCGCGACUCCUCUGGGCGAUCCGGGCUAG
This 720-nucleotide ribosomal RNA is filed under the name Triticum aestivum (bread wheat). Its description in RNAcentral is "partial small subunit ribosomal RNA". Lineage: Eukaryota; Viridiplantae; Streptophyta; Magnoliopsida; Poales; Poaceae. The record is from RNAcentral.